Capsicum annuum is the source of this 1593-nucleotide long non-coding RNA. RefSeq lists it as uncharacterized. The record is from RefSeq and is a predicted model, not a curated record. The transcript is spliced from 2 exons. NCBI's taxonomy places the organism in Eukaryota, Viridiplantae, Streptophyta, Magnoliopsida, Solanales, Solanaceae.
GAUUCCAUGCAUAUAGCUGCAUAGAGAACCAGAGCAUUAUAUUUUGUUUUAAGGAGUAACAACUCCUGAAUUCUAAAAACCUUUGCUGGAAAGGCUACAGCCCGAAGGUGACCAAAUGAACGUGCACAUGAGUUCUUAAAUUCCUUCAUAUUCUUUCUGAAAUAAGAUAAAAAUUUUCAUGCUGAAGUGAGUAUCAAACUGAUGGAUUGAGAAAAACACCAGCACCAAAUAUUAAGAAGUGCAGAUCAUAAAAGGGAAGUUAUGCAAAUGAAGACCAUUUAUCCAAUAGAUGAUCACACAAGUUCUUAAAAUUAUUGUUGAUGGUUUACUCAUUCUUUAUGACAGUACAAGGAUCUGAAAAAACACCUUCUAGUCUUCAACUCUAGGUCAAGAACCAAAAAGAUGUGCAGACUUAUAGUAGAAAUAAGAAGGAAAGCUCAAUAACAUCUUGGAAACCCAUGAUUCAAAAAGUAUCACCAUCCAAAAGGGUCAAAUAUCAGGCACCUUAACAUAAGCUAUAGAAGAUGAAGUGAUUUCACCAAAACCAUUACUAACGAAUAGAUAGAUAACUAAAUCAACCAUGUCUUGAGGGGAAAAAGAGAAAUGGGUUGGAUUCAGUCAAUUCUGUACAUUAGACUAUUAAUAUUAAUCUAGAAUGUACAUUAAGGUGGUUAUAGUUUACGUUGUACCUAUAAAGUGUAUCUUAUCAUUGAUAUUGACUCAAUUACACGAUCGUAAACAGAAGGAUCUUUUACCUCCUUUGGAGUUCAAUUUAGACAUUUAUAAAUACAAUUGGUAAUAUGAAGAAAGUAGAUACCUACGAUCGAUUUUUUUUCAUGAUCAGGACAGCUGUAAAAUUACUUCCUUCUAUGUUCGCAAAGCACUAUAUUUAGGAAGAUGACAUGAAAUAUUUGUUUUUAUACUUUACAUUCAAUAAAUACAUAAUAAUUGUUAGUUCUUUCAACAGGUGGGAGAGUUUGCAGGCAUAGCAGUUGGAGCUACAGUCAUGCUCAAUAUUCUAGUGGCCGGUAUUUCCGCAAAUCAAAGAAGGUGCAAGAAGCAUGAAUACCUAUUUCAAUAGAAGGCUAGGGUUCAAUCGAAAGCGGUCGGAGCAGUCGUAGUCAGAGCAGUAGACGAUCGAAUCAAUGGUGGUCGGAGCGGAUAGUCGGAGCAGUCGAUCGGAUCACCGAUUUGAGAUGCAGUUGGCACUGGUGUGAAAUUUUUGUUAAUUUUCAAAUGCACUAGAGCACUAAUUUGAAGAUUCAAAGCACUGAUUUUAAAAUUUGGACCACUGAUUUGAAGAUUGGAGAUCCAUAGUGUCCAAUUUGAAGCAGUCGGUUGAAACUUUUCUUUGUUAACCCAAGUUUUGUCGAGAACCCAAAGUCGAUCAGUACCAUUUAUUUAAUUUUCUUUAAUUUUUGAUAUAUAUUUCAUUGAAUUGUGGCGCACUUGGUGAAAAAUUGGGGAGGGAAAUAAUUUAAGUCGAUGCAAUAGUUUUUUUUUAAAUUUAAGUGUUGUCAUAGGUGGCUGUAUGACAACACUUCAUGUAAGGGAUGUUAUUCCUAUUGCAAUGAUUAAUAAUAGUAACCGUUG